This 1725-nucleotide long non-coding RNA is filed under the name Hordeum vulgare. Its description in RNAcentral is "long non-coding RNA (HVUL_LNC005879)". The record is from RNAcentral. Lineage: Eukaryota; Viridiplantae; Streptophyta; Magnoliopsida; Poales; Poaceae.
AUCAAUCUCAGGUUCGUAUAAUCUGCAUCUUUUCUGUACGGGCCUUUGAAUUGUAACUAUAUCUCUAUUGAUGAGUCAUAUGACACGGUAAUAUACAGAACCAACAGAGCACCAGCCGGCACACAAAGGCCAACUUGAUCUAUUUCAGUUCCGUGGUACAUCCGUUACAAUUUACAAGUGUACCUAAUACAAAAGAAAUUAAGCACCAAGUUCUUUUAACUUUAAUUCUGGGUCAAAAUCUGGGCUUGCAAUGCUUCACUUUUGGGGUUCUCACAGUUCUAGAUUUUUCUUCUUGAGCACUUGGCUGAGCUGAACCUUCUAGAUCACCAUCGGUGCUUCCACGAACUUCUCCUUUAGGAUGUGCUUCAAGGAGGUCCGGGGGUACUCCAUGCAGCCCCUGAAACCCCAAUUGAACUGGAUGUUCAUGCAGUCGAUAUGGUCUAAUCGGCUAAACAUUGCUGCCAACAGGUAUUUCAUCUGGUGUGCUUUUGGUAGUUUUUAGAGCGGACAACAAGAUGCAAGUUUGAUUCAGAAUCAUAUGUUGUGUUUACUUCACACUUCCCUACAUGUGUGAUACAACACUGCCAUAUUUCCCACAUUGCAUAGAGUGCAGUUAGCCAGGUGCUGAUUGUGAAAAUCAUUGGUACGUAUCUAUGCAAUUUGUUUAUUUUGGCCAAGACAAUCAUAAGUAUUUAAGCCUAUUCUUCAUAGAGCCAUUCCCAUAGUUUUGAUGGUGAAUGAUACAAGUUACAUAUUUAAGUCUAUUUCCAAUACAAAAUGUGACAUCAUGUUUUAUCUGCUCAAAUUAUGUUCUAUUAUGCAUGAAUCAAUGUUGAUAAUUAACCUAUCAUGCCUGCUUUCAGUUACCGAUUAAACAUAUUGGGUUACAUUUGCACCUUUUAAGUAAGCAGGAAAUGUAAAAGAGAUCAUAUUCAAAGUUCAUGCUUCCUCUUGCUGUUAUAUAUCUUUGUAAACACUAUUAUGCUUGCUGCUCUUCAAUGAACAGUUAUAGUUUAUGAUUGGUCCUUUGGUGACAUAUUAGCUUGCCUUAAAUCAUUGCUUGGCACCCUCACACUAGAUUACAUGCAGACAUGUGUGCUGUCAGGAAACUGUGGGGGCAGUGGCCAGUGGGUCACCAUGUCCAUGGUCAUUACCUAGCUCGUGGUCCACGGACGCUGCUGGUCAUUGUUGUUGACCUCCAGCAUAGUCAUGUUCAUGUUACAGGAGAAGAAGGUUAAAUUCUGCAAGAGAGACUGGACAUGUGCAAACUACUUGGUGAGUGCGGGUACGGGUCGAUUGGGAGUUUGGGACUCAUGGGACUUCCAGCGUGGAUCAAAUGAGACACUCAUGUGUGCAGCUGGAAGAGGUGGUGUUGCCAAAGGCAGUGCCAGCUAACGCAUGGAUGGCCAACGAAACCGAUCACCACGACCAGCAUGUAUGCAUCAUAUUAUCAAGCAUUAAGAUGUCAAGGCAUAACUUGCUGGCGGAACCAUUACCAAGCAUGUUGACCAUUUAAACGCAUAUGUUAUCGAACGUGGGAUGAUAUGUGUAGUUUUAUAGCAAUACACAUGCGCUUUGGGAUGUAUAUUUUGCAGCAAUACACAUGCGCUUUGCAAUUAAAUGGCUGGGUGAUUGAAGAGAGGAAAAAAAAUGCAUGUCCUCAAGUAAAAUGAUUAUCUAAAGAAAUGUCUUUGUAUAUUCCGUUGUUGUCCCGUUGCAUCGCAC